Molecule: ribosomal RNA, 371 nt
Filed under: uncultured bacterium
Lineage: Bacteria
Description: bacterial SSU rRNA
Rfam family: Bacterial small subunit ribosomal RNA
Source: RNAcentral
GGGGGGGGCAAGCGUUGUUCGGAAUUACUGGGCGUAAAGGGCGCGUAGGCGGCCUUCUAAGUCGGACGUGAAAUCCCUCGGCUUAACCGAGGAACUGCGUCCGAUACUGAAAGGCUUGAAUCCGGGAGAGGGAUGUGGAAUUCCAGGUGUAGCGGUGAAAUGCGUAGAUAUCUGGAGGAACACCGGUGGCGAAGGCGGCAUCCUGGACCGGUAUUGACGCUGAGGCGCGAAAGCUAGGGGAGCAAACGGGAUUAGAUACCCCGGUAGUCCUAGCCCUAAACGAUGAGUGCUUGGUGUGGCGGGUAUCGAUCCCUGCCGUGCCGAAGCUAACGCAUUAAGCACUCCGCCUGGGGAGUACGGUCGCUUGGCUG